UGAGAAAUUUGACAUAGGUUGUCUGUCCGCCUGUCCGUCCGACCGCGAAUAUAACUCCUCCGUUACUAUACCAGGUAGAAUGACAAAUGAGGUGUCAAAUGAAAGCUCAUAAUACAAGGAUGGUACUAAAGGUGAGAAAUUUGACAUAUGCUGUCUGUCCGCCUGUCCGUCCAACCACGAAUAUAACUCAUCCGUCACUAUAGCAGGUAGAAUGACAAAUGAGGUGUCAAAUGAAAGCUUAUAAUACAAGGAUGGUACUAAAGGUGAGAAAUUUGACAUAGGCUGUCUGUCCGUCCGACCGCGAGUAUAACUCAUCCGUCACUAUACCAGGUAGAAUGACAAAUGAGGUGUCAACUGAAAGCUUAUAAUCUAAGGAUAGUACUGAAGGUGAGAAAUUUGACAUAGGUUGUCUGUCCGCCUGUCCGUCCGACCGCGAAUAUAACUCCUCCGUUACUAUACCAGGUAGAAUGACAAAUGAGGUGUCAAAUGAAAGCUCAUAAUACAAGGAUGGUACUAAAGGUGAGAAAUUUGACAUAUGCUGUCUGUCCGCCUGUCCGUCCAACCACGAAUAUAACUCAUCCGUCACUAUAGCAGGUAGAAUGACAAAUGAGGUGUCAAAUGAAAGCUUAUAAUACAAGGAUGGUACUAAAGGUGAGAAAUUUGACAUAGGCUGUCUGUCCGUCCGACCGCGAGUAUAACUCAUCCGUCACUAUACCAGGUAGAAUGACAAAUGAGGUGUCAACUGAAAGUUUAUAAUCCAAGGAUAGUAGUAAAGGUGAGAAAUUAGACCUAGGUUGUCUGUCCGUCUGUCUGUCUGUCCGCGAAUAUAACUCCUCCGUCACUAUACCAGGUCGGACGGACAGG
This is a long non-coding RNA of Diabrotica virgifera virgifera (western corn rootworm), 864 nucleotides long. RefSeq lists it as uncharacterized. Lineage: Eukaryota; Metazoa; Arthropoda; Insecta; Coleoptera; Chrysomelidae. The transcript has 3 exons. The record is from RefSeq and is a predicted model, not a curated record.